RNAcentral lists this ribosomal RNA (478 nucleotides) under uncultured bacterium. RNAcentral's name for it is "partial 16S ribosomal RNA". It matches the Rfam family "Bacterial small subunit ribosomal RNA", at positions 28 to 523 of the family's 1533-position model. The record is from RNAcentral.
GACGAACGCUGGCGGCGUGCUUAACACAUGCAAGUCGAACGGUAAGGCCCUUCGGGGUACACGAGUGGCGAACGGGUGAGUAACACGUGGGUGAUCUGCCCUGCACUUCGGGAUAAGCCUGGGAAACUGGGUCUAAUACCGGAUAGGACCACUGCCUGCAUGGGUGGUGGUGGAAAGCUUUUGCGGUGUGGGAUGGGCCCGCGGCCUAUCAGCUUGUUGGUGGGGUGAUGGCCUACCAAGGCGACGACGGGUAGCCGGCCUGAGAGGGUGACCGGCCACACUGGGACUGAGAUACGGCCCAGACUCCUACGGGAGGCAGCAGUGGGGAAUAUUGCACAAUGGGCGCAAGCCUGAUGCAGCGACGCCGCGUGAGGGAUGACGGCCUUCGGGUUGUAAACCUCUUUCAGCACCGACGAAGCGCAAGUGACGGUAGGUGUAGAAGAAGGACCGGCCAACUACGUGCCAGCAGCCGCCGAUA